UCCAAAAUCUGAAAAGUUGUUUUGUGUGGUUUCCGUAAUAUACAGGCGUAAUAUGUAGACCCGAUGAACCAAUCAGAGGACAUUACGUUUUAUGUAGAUCAGGGCA
Syngnathus acus (greater pipefish) is the source of this 106-nucleotide long non-coding RNA. RefSeq lists it as uncharacterized. Lineage: Eukaryota; Metazoa; Chordata; Actinopteri; Syngnathiformes; Syngnathidae. The transcript has 2 exons. The record is from RefSeq and is a predicted model, not a curated record.